UUCUGUGGGCGGGCUUCUCUGUUCCUAGCUCUCCUUGCUCCGCGUGGGACUUUCACCUCCGCGUCCCCUCCGGUGGUCCCUCUACGGCUCCUUGGUUCCCGGCGCACCCACACCCGGUCGUCCGAGUUCGCGAAGGCUUCCUCCCCACCAGCGGGUUUCAGCUUCAUCCUCCUUGCCCCGUGGUCACCUGUCUCCGGUUUUGAGGCAGCACAGGGACGUGCACCGCCUGAGCGCAGUGCCCAAGGGCUUGGGCUGGGCCCUGGUGCACGGGCCACGGGGCCUCACCCAGCCUGAGACCCCCGGGAGAAGGAGACUCACCCUGGUGUUGCCUGCAGUGAGAACUGUGUGUGGGCAAGUGUCUGGUGGCUGGAACAGAUGCCAUGUUUGGGGAAUUCCAGUGACUGUAUGUGCCUGGGGAGGGAGAGGAAGGGUAGCCGUGAAAUAUGCGACCAGAGGGACUGGGAGUGGAGGGUAUCAAGGACAGGAAACUUGGAGCUGCAGAGGGGCAGUGUACCAGGCGGCGAGGCAGAGGGGUCAGCUGUGACAGGUCAGCACUGUUUCCCUCCGCGGCCCCAUUCUCCUCUAGCUACCACUGGGCUUGCUGGCUGAUCAAGACUGCUCCAGGGCAGCCCAGGAAAAAGCUCCCAAAGCAAGCAGAACUUCCUUGCCUGUCCAGACCAGGAAAUACCAGAGUGGGUUCCAUGAUAGGGUGUGGCUGAGGGGCCACGCCUUGGAGAGGGCGGGGAAGGCCUCAGGGACCCUUGCCUAAGAAGGACCCAGUGUAGACAGCCACCGAGAAUGCAGGGAAGAGAGCAGGUCUGGCUGCUGGUUAGAUGGCCACGGGGACAGAGCUGACUCACCUGAACACGCCAAGACUAGCUAGUUCUGUCCACAUCCUGACCCAUGAUGAGCAUCAAGGUUGCCUGGGAAUAUAGGAGGCUGGGCCCUGUUAGGAAUUUGCUAUGUGGGGGUGGGUGGAGGGGUGGUGAGUCUCCCAGCCUUUCUGAACCACCUAGCUCAGGUAAGCCUGGUGGGACUGGGGAGCCAGAGGCCUGGGUCUGAGCCCUGUACAUCUCUACAGAUAGUGUCUCUGUAUCCUCCAUUUCUUCCUGGGCCUCAGUUUUUCCAUAUGUACAUCAUGUACAGUCUACUACUAAGAAACCUUAGAAUUGGAUGGAGGGAGAGGGUAAGGAAGCCAUGCAUGCCCUUGACCAGAAAGGGUGGGUUGGGGGAGGUACUAGAGUUUGAGAGGGUUGUAUUCUUACUGGGUGCUUCCUGUUAGGAUUCAGCAUCCCCGCCCCCACCCCAACUCCCAUGCAUGCUCAUGUCUGGCCUGGCCCUGCCCUCACACACUCUUCAUCACUUCCAGGAUGAAGCUCAGAUUCCCUAGCCUGGGAGCAGAGGCCACCAGAGCAGACUCCCAGCUUCAACUGCAGCCCUUUCUCCCACUCACCUCACCAGACAUCUUAACUUCUAGCCUUCCUGCCAGGCAGUGUGACUCAGUUUCCUAGGGCUAGAGAUCCCUUUGGGGCCACAAACCUGGAAGGGUCCUAGAGUAGUGUCUGCCAAUCUGGGACUGUAUGAUGCAUCCUGAGGGGCCCCAGACUGCUUUGAGAGGUAAGGGAGGCUGAGGGCCAGGUCCCCAUACUCAGAGCAGCUCCCCUCCACCUGGUUAUCCUUUUCAGGGAGGACCAAAAUAGUUUGAAAAGCUCUGAUUUAGUUGGAUACCCCAUUUCAUGGAGGAGGUGACUGAGGCCCAGAGAGGAGCAGGCCUCUGCACGAGCUGGGGCACGGCCAGAGCCGAAUAGCUGCAUGGACACUCAAAAGAGGGUCCUGUGGGGCAGAUGAGAUGUGGGUCAUCGGUCUCGGGUGGGGAGCAGCUGCCAGGCCCAUGUUAGAGGGGGAAGUAGCAUGAGGUGGAGAGGGCAGAGAGUCCUGGGUGUGGCAUGGUUUGGGGUGGGCGCCCUAGUGGGUGUAAGUGUGGGAGAUCUGGUGUUCAAGGCCUCCCAGCUGCAAGUUAUUUACUGCAGGUCUCCAGCUCGCCCUGAUCUGGUUCCUGGUCUGUACCUCCUCCCAUCCUGACAGUACCUCCCAACCUUAAGCCAGUGUCAUCAUCAAUCAGCUCUGGCUCCAGCUGACUGACUGCCAGCUGAGGGUGGGAAGGUCACCCCACAAAGGACUUUCAUUCCAUCAGUUUUUGGAGAUAAGAAUGAGGGACAGGUGGGCCCAGUCCCACGUGCUGCACCCCUGACCCCCUGGCUGGGCUCUCCUGGUCUGCCUGAGCUGGCUGGGAGCAGCCUGCCCCCACCCGAGGCUGCUGCAGGGGCCAGCAGAGCAGCUGGGCUUCCAGUGGCUUCCUUUCCUACCUCUUACUCCCAAGACCUUGCCCUCCUGGUGCAACAGUAGCAGGAAGGGUGGGGCAGGAAUGCCUGGGCCAGAGCGCUGGGCCAGAGUUCUGAGGCACCCACCCCAGACUGCCCCAUAGCCAGUUCCCUGGGAAUUGUUGACUCUGCCAGGGGCUUGGAAUACCCUUUGGUGUCCUGGGGGCUGGGUGGGGAGGAAUGAGACCCUCUCCUGUUUGCCCUUUUGGGUCUGCCUGUGUCACCUGCCCAUCACUGGCUGCCUCAUUUAUAUUACCGCCCUACCUGGGUCAGCUAAUGCCAGAGUCUCAGAGUUUCAGAGCCAAGGAGAGGCAGAGCCUGUGGGUCUUGGACUCAAAGACCCUCUAACUCUCAACCCUGAGACAUCUGGUCAGAUUAUCUGGGUAGAUGAUCUUUGCCAGGUGAGGGCACACGCCCCAGGUCUGGUGGGGGAGGCCUGUGUCUGACUGGAGGCUACAGCUUGACUGUGGGGGUGGGUUUGAGCCCAGGCCCCUUGCUGCUCCUUCCUCCAGUCAGGAGGCCCAAUUGCCAGGUGAUCCCUGCUUGCUUGAAGGGUCCCUUGUUCCAGGGCAGGAAGUCCGAAGGUGUAAGCCCACCUGCCCACUCCCACAGCCCCCACCUCUUAAGUAGGAUCCAUCCAGCAAGGUCAGUCGGGUUGGGGUGGGGCAUGGUGGUUCUGGCUCUUGUACAUUGACCUCACCCUCUCACUGCUUAGCAUCUCCUGUACCUGUCACCAAGUCCAUCUCUCCAGUUCUGACUUUGUAUCCCACCAUGCCUUUGCUGUGAGGUCCUCCAUGGCAACUCUGUCAGCCACUUAGGCUGCUCUUAGGCCACCUGCAAAGCCUGGGCCUGUAUGCUGGGUGUCUUUUGUUCUCAUGAUUCCCCCACCUGCAUGCCUGUCCUCCUCUCUGCCUCUUUAUUUGUUGCGCAUUGCUUAUGGCUCCAGCAGGAAACCCCUGCUGUUCUCCCAAACCUUUCCUUGUUUACACAGGUAGGGUAAGCAGGAAGGGUGGGGCAGGAAUGCCUGUAAGAAAAAGGCUCUUGGCUCCUCUGACAGUGUGUCCUUGUUUCCAGAGGUUCAGUGGAGAGGGGGUAGGUCAGAGUGCCACUAGAUUCUAGCCUGAGCCCUUCAGAGCCAUGGCAGGUGUUUGAGAGCACGGGAAUAAGCAGGCCAGAAGUGGGCUGGAGGAGCAUCUGCCUUUUGGGUAAAAAGGAUGCCUCCCUUGGCAGUUCUGUUCUGAGUCUUCUCUCCUACUUUAAGCUCCCCUCUAUUGGGCCCAGGUACAGAGCUGGCCAGGGGUUAGUAGCCAGUCCAAGAACUCCUCUCUGAGGCACCCUGGGCUCAUUGCUCAACUCUGAUGGGGGCUAGACAUGGGCCUUACUUCUGGGCACACAGCCUGAGUCUGUGGGCACUCGCCCUGCGCCCAGUGGUGCUGUCUCACCCUGAUCUGUGCCCCAUUCACAGGCCCUGAGUGUAGCACCCUGGCCAUGUGCAGCCCUGAGGAGGCGACUCUCCUGCGGCUAGAGGAGGUCUUUUUGGCCACCCUUGCCCGCAUCAACAGCCUUGUGCUCCAGCCCCUGCUCAAGGCCGCCCCAGAGCCCUCGGACCCCCAGGGCAGAGAGUGCCUGCGGCUCUUGCAGCAGCUGCACCGGAGCUUCCAGCAGCUCUGGGAGGUGACAGAGGAAAGCCUGCACUCACUGCGGGAGAGGCUGUGCCCCCUGGACUCCACUGGUCUGGAAUCCCUGCUACUGCUGCGCAGCGCUGACCAUGUUGUGCAGGUCCAUGUAGAGUACAUCGAGUCCUACACGAACUGCGUGGUGGUGCAGGCCUUUCAGAAAGCAGCAAAGAGGAGGAGCGAGUACUGGAGGGACCAGCAGAAGGCGCUGCAGCAACUCCUGUCGGGUGUGGGCUCAGAGGGCCGGGUGGGCACAGCACUGGUCCAGUCCCUCUGCCAGCCACUCUCCCAUCACGUGCAACAAUAUGUGCUCCUCCUCCUGAGCCUCAGGGACACCAUCGGGAAGCAUCAUCCCACCUGGGAGCUGGCGGUGCACGCAGCCACACUGUUUGAGAACCUACAGUCCUUCGUGAGGCAGGCGCUGGACCAGGCCUUGGCCACGCAGGCCCUCUGGCACACCCUGAGCAGCCGGCAAAGAGAUGUGCUCUGCACCCCUGCUCGCCGACUCUUGCAAGACAGUCGGGACAUACCUGUGACAGUCACCCCACUGCGGGCAGAGCGUGUGCUGCUCUUUGAUGAUGUCCUGGUCCUGCUGCAGGGCCACAAUGUCUACACCUUUGAUCUGAAGCUGAUGUGGGUAGAUCCUGCACAGGACAGGUGCACGUUUCACCUUCUCACACCCGAGGAAGAGUUCUCCCUUUGCACCAAUGACCCCCAAGGCCAGGUGGUCUGGCAGUGGAAGAUGACCCAGGCUGUGUGCCAGGCCCUGCGUGGGAAGAAGGGCUUCCCAGUGCUGGGGGCGGGCCUGGAGCCCUCCAAACCCCCCGCCUGCCGCUGUGUAGCAUACACCUUCUGUGCUGAGGGCCGGCUCUGCCAGGCCACCUAUGAGGGCGAGUGGUGCUGGGGGAGGCCCCAUGGCAGAGGAACCCUGAAGUGGCCAGAUGGACGGCAUCAUGUGGGGGAGUUCUGUCAGGGCCUGGAACACGGCUUUGGCAUCCACCUGGUGCCACAGGCCUCUGAGGACAAGUUUGACUGUUACAAAUGCCACUGGUGGAAAGGUAGCAUGUGUGGCUAUGGCAUCUGUGAGUACAGCACUGAUGAGGUGUACAAAGGCUACUUCUGGGAGGGCCUGCGGCAUGGAUUUGGGGUCCUUGAGAGUGCCCCACAGGCCCCUCAGCUCUGCAAGUACACAGGUCACUGGGAAAGGGGUCAGAGGAGCGGCUAUGGCAUCGAGGAGGACGGGGACAGAGGUGAGCGCUAUAUUGGCAUGUGGCAGGCCGACCAGCGCCAUGGCACAGGGGUUCUUGUCACCCAGGCGGGCAUCUGCUAUCAGGGCACCUUCCAGGCAGACAAGAUAAUGGGCCCUGGGAUCCUCCUCUCUGAAGACGACUCCUUGUACGAAGGCACCUUUACCAGACACCUGACCCUUGUUGGGAAGGGCAAGGUCACCUUCCCCAAUGGCUUCACCCUGGAGGGCUCUUUUGGCAGUGGGGCAGGCAGAGGACUGCAUACACAGGGCGUGCUGGACACAGCUGCCCUCCCACCAGACCCAAGCAGCACCCGCAGGAGGCAACUGGGUCUGGGUGCCUUUCCCGUGGAGAGCCGCUGGCAGGGCGUCUACGGCCCCUUCCAGGACUUUGUGCGUGCUGGCUGCCCGGGGGACCUUCAGGAGGCCCUGCUGGGCUUCCACGUGCAGAACUCAAGGGAGCUGCGCAGGUCCCAGGAGUACCUGUUCUGUGAGAGGACUCAGCCUGAGGAUGGUGUGGGCAGAAUAGAAGAUAUCCUAGACGACCUGCUACUGAACCGGGAACCCGAAGCCCUGCAGCAGUGCCUCAGGAAGGCUCUGAGCAACGCACUGCACCCCCUUGGAAAGCUGCUCCGGAUGCUGAUGCUCACCUUCCAGGCCACGUAUGCAGGCAUUGGGGCCAACAAGCACCUGCAGGGGCUAGCCCAGGAGGAGGUGAAGCAGCAUGCCCAGGAACUCUGGGCUGCCUACAGGGGUCUGCUGCAAGUUGCCUUACAGCGCAAGGGCCAGGCCCCAGAGAAAGGUGAAGAUGUGGAGACGAGGGACCUGCAGGUGCAUGCAUUGGUGCUGCCCCUCGUGCUGCCCAGCUUCUACUCAGAGCUCUUCACUCUCUACCUACUUCUUCAUGAGAGGGAGGACAGUCUCUACAGCCAGGGCAUCAUCAACCUCAGCCUCUUCCCUGACACCAAGCUACUUGAGUUCCUCGAUGUGCAGAAGCACCUGUGGCCACUCAAAGACCUCAAACUGUCGACCAAUCAGGGCUGUGCUGAAUCAGUGAUGGAGAAGAGAGAUACUCCCUGGUCAGGGAUAAGUGCUUCCUGUCAGCCACUGAGUGUCUGCAGAAGAUCAUCACCACAGUGGACCCCCAGGAGAAGCUGAAGGUGCUGGAGAGGACAUACGGGGAAAUUGAGACCACUGUGUCACGGGUGCUGGGCCAGGAGCACAAGCUGCCCAUGGAUGACCUGCUGCCACUGCUCAUCUACGUGGUGUCACGUGCCCGAAUCCAGCACCUAGGAGCUGAGAUCCACCUGAUCCGUGACAUGAUGAACCCCAUCCACACAGGAGGCCUGUAUGACUUCCUGCUCACAGCCCUGGAGUCCUGUUACGAGCACAUCCAGAAGGAAGACAUGAGGCUGCACCACUUGCCCAUCCGCUGGGAUUCCAGGGAAUACUUGUAGCUCAGCCUUUCUUGGACAAACUGCAGAACUGAGAGGGCGGCCCUGGACUUCGUGGGAGCGAGCAUGGCCCAUGGGCCAGAGAGCAGGAUGGGCCCCCGGAGGCAGCUGUUGGAGGAAAUGGGUGUACAGUCUCUUUCAGGCAGACGCUGCUGCUGUCUGUCAGGUGACAGGCGUACCCCUGACCCAUCACCAGGCCUUCCCAGAUGACCUUGACUUGCAGCAGCUCACAGGCUGGGGGCAAGGAGCCCUGGCUUUUCCUUGCCUGAACCUUGCUCCCAAGUUAUCAAGGCUCUUUGGGCCUCAGUAUUGCAGUCUAUAAAAUAGUGGACAGGAUGGUCUGUCAAGGAUCUCCUCCUCCCCACCAACUGCUGGAUCCUGGAGUCCUUCUGGAAGUCUGACGUGACUCAGCUAGGCUGUAACUGAAAUUCUUCUGUCACAGUUGGUCGUGCUCCCUGUUUCUCCACUCAGUGUCAGAGGCUCCAAGCUGCUACUAACCACUCUGUUUAUAGAGCCGCUUUCCCAUGAGUGGUCUCCUGGAACCUUGCUCCUUGCUGACUCUGCCUCAGGGCCAAGCUGGCCUCUUAAAGUUCAGUCUGAUUUGCUGGGUGGCCUCUGGCAAGGCCGUCCCCUCCUUGGGUAGGCAGUUGAAGGUGUGGGUUUGGAGGGCUCUGAACUGCAGUCCACGUACUGUGAUGUAAACAGUGGUGCUGGAGGGCACAGGGAGGUGCUGGAGCAAGCUGGAGGGCACGGGGAGGUGCCGGAGUAAGCUGGAGGGCACGGGGAGGUGCUGGAGCAAGCUGGGGGACGGGGAGGUGCUGGAGUAAGCUGGAGGGCACGGGGAGGUGCUGGAGCAAGCUGGGGGACGGGGAGGUGCUGGAGUAAGCUGGAGGGCAGUGGGAGGAAGCUUACCUUGCCUUUAUCACUGCCAGCAGUGCCCAAGUCGCUCAUGAGUUACAUAGCUGUGACCUCUGUGGACCUGCACGUGAAAAGGGCAGCAGGAGCAUGAGGCUGGCCUGUGCCCAGAUCAAGAAGCAUCUCUAGCUGAGGAUACUGUGGGGGUUCAGGGGAGGCCACUGGGAGCACAGGUGCCUUUGGGAGGGAAAUACUUUGUUUACAGUGGAGCUAGUGUGGGACCCAAAGAUGCAGGAGUUGGGUCUUGGGGCAGCUUCAUCCCUGCUAGGUCUCAGUUUUUUCCCACAUCGAGGGGCUUGACCCAAGUGAUCAGCAGGGGCUCCCUCUGCUCAACAAGAAAUGUGUGCCAGUACACAGGGUGACUGUUCUGCAGAGGUCCAGCAGUGAGGCAUGGGGAGAGGGUGGAUUUAUGUGGGGGUGUAACCUUGAGAACAAGCCGGGCCCACCCUGCAGGUGUAGCCUGUACGCAAGCCAGGUUGUUCUUGGCUCCCAGGCAUGUCUUCAAUAAAUGAAGCACCGACCCCAGCCUUCAAGGGUAGAGCUGAGGGAAGCUCCAGAAAACAGCCACACAUGAGCCCAAGGCCAAAUCCACACUGGGAGCCUCAAGGUGCAGGGUGGCUGGGAGACACCCACAGCCUCCCAGAGACAUUGUGGGGCUGUGGGGGUGGGGGUGAAGCUUUCUCUGGCUGGUUCCACCAAACGUGGUGGCUUGGAAGGUCUUGUGCUCUGGUUUUUCCAGAACCCCCUGUGGUGUUUCCACGAAGGUCCCUAGAAGGGUGUAGAACUAAUGGAGAGUGAGGACAUCCAGGAUGCCAUGGGCUUUCACGCUGACCCCGGACGUGGCAGCUCAUUAGCACUUUAAUCCUCUCCAGGGGUCACCAGCAAGUUCUUGUCCCUUGACUAGUGAGAACAGCUUUGCCUCAGGGCAGCCCUGAGUUGGUGCAAUGCUAUAUAACCUCACUCCAGAGACCCCUGCAUACCAGCCAGCCUUCUUCAGGGUCCAUGCGUUCUUGGUGCACUGAAGAUUCACCAGGACCCUUCCAGCACCUCCUCACUGGACCUCGCCCAGUGCCAACUGGACUGGAGCCUCUGGACAGGGCCCUGGGAAAUUCCAAGGGCAGCCAAGGCUGUAUCAGACCCUCUCACAACAAAACCCUGGAGCAGGAAAUUGACAACUGCUGUCUGCUUCCUUUACAGAGGAGACACCUGGAGCCAGGUGAUAACCACCUGCUCUGCGGGGUUCCUCAGGGAGGCUGAUGGAAACAGGUCUCCCACUGCGACCCGCAUGGUGAUGUCUCCCAGCUGCUGCAGGAUCCCCUUCAGCUGCAGUGGGAGCACACUGGUGUCCGCUCUGGAAGUCAGGUUCUGGUCAGGGGCUCUAGCACCUUGGCAGUUGGCCAGUGUCAGAAGUGGCCUGGUGGGGCCCAGCUCAGGUGCUCUCCACCUUCCACCUUUCUGGUCCCCAUCUCUUCCCCAGGAUGAGGGUUCUUUUGGCAACGAUCCUGAGGGAGUGAUGAAAUUCUUCAGAAUUAGUCCCAAACAGGACUUCUUGGUUACUCGGGCCAGAGAUGAGAGGCCAAGGGAGACACUGGGUUGACGCCCCACAGGCAGCUUUGACAGACUGCGAAGGCCCACACCAGCCCUGCUCUUGAGGGCCUGGAUGUAGGGCUGACACAGACAGGGACGCCUCUGAGGUUGGAUGGCUGCUCUGUGAGCAUGUGUGUCCCAAGUCAUACAGCCUGACCACCCACUUCCCUCCAACUGCAGUCCUGACCCUGGAGACCCAGGUGGCCUGCCCCUGUCCCCAGCUGCAGCCCUAGUGCCACAUGCUAUCUCAGGAACCUCUCAACCCCUGAUUUCCCCACAGUCAUUUUCCCUUCAGUAGCCAAACCUAUCUGUUACUCCCCUGCUUUCUCAGGCCUGCCUUUCAUUGUUCCGUCCCCCAGAAAUGCCCUCCAAUCCCAUGAGGUCCCAGGCUGCUCUGUCCUUGAAGGCCCAGCUUACAACAAACCCCUGGAACCUAAGGAAGGAAGCUUCUUCCUCCCCAACCCUUCUCCAUGGGCCCCACCCUGGCCUCAUCAUGUUAGUGGUGCGUGAUGGGUGGGUGCCUGCUCCCCCUCCAUUCUCCAGACACACAGCUCACUGCCACUCCUUGGGCUGGCAUCAGUAGCAGUGGGAGAUAGGGUGGAAACAGGAAAGGUCAGACUGAAGGGCCUGGAGUCCAGGGCAAAUCUGCAUCCAUGCCCAGUCAGGGCAGUACCUACCAACAGAAGCACUCAGGCAUGACCAGGACAGGCAGGGACCCACAGGGAAAUGGAGGUGAGGCCAAACUCGGGUGGGGAGUAGACAGGAAGCUGAUGUCAAAGCCUCAGGAGAAAGGAAAGACAAAAAGAUGUGCUCCCAGGGCUCAGGUGACCUUACCUGGGCACCAGGGGCUCAGGCCUGGCCCUCCUGGCCUAGUAUCCCACCCGCACCUAGCAGUAAUGCCAGUCUGUAAGAGUGUUGAGCCCCCACUUCAGGAGAUGCCAUAUUAUGGCCAGGUUAAUGCUGUUGACCAGUUGUGGGUGAUGGAUGUGUCGUCCUGAAGGGGACGGGCACAGGGUGGUUCCAUGAAGUCCCUGCAUGGACUGACUUCCUCCCGCAGUCAGCAAGCCUCACCAGGGGCCUCCUGGAUGACAGCUAUGUUCCGAGUGGGAUAUGGUGUCGAACACAGCAAACAAGGUGAGAAUGGCUGGCUCUCCUUUCAGGAAGGCACCAGCAGACUGCUUGCUGGGCAUGUGGGACAAGGAAGCUGCAGAAACCGAGUCCGUAACUAAUGCAAACUGGGAGCUAGUUGACAUCUAGAAGACCCAAAUUCUGACCAAGCCUCUGCAUAUUCAAAUCAUUCCUGAGGGUGCUCGGAGGCAGUGAAGGCUGGAGGGAGUGGGAGCAAGGGCCAGUCAGCAGUGACUUGUCGCUGCUGGAGGGGACUUAGCAGUGCACAGAGUGAAUAAAGUAAAGGUUCUCCAGGCAGGGGCUGUGUGGCCUCGGCCCUCAGCUCUCCCAGAGGGAUGGCUGCCUACUGUGGGAUAGGCAAGGGGCAGGACUGCCCUUGGCACUGGGGAAAGGAUUCAUUUAGAGUUACAGUCAGGCCUGACAAUUCCACUGCUGCCCAUUGCCAAAGGGUCCUUUUACAUGGGCAUCCAUCUGGGUCUCAGUGGAGGGCAGAGGUCCUGUGCAAUUUGCUGCUGUAAUGCUUGUCCCUCAGAGGUUGGGACUUCAUUAUUCAGCUGUUUCAUUGUCAGGUACCAGGCCACACUGUCAGCCCAUUGACUACCAACUACAAGUUGGUAAAAAUGUAACAAGGUACCUUCUUGGGGGCCUGGGGAGUGUUUUCCAGGACAAGCACCAUAAUAUGCAACUCUGCCCAGGUGGUAGAGUAUCCUCUUACAUAGCUUUAAGCAGCUUCCUGUGGCUGCCCAGCCAGCAGGCCCUUGAUCUUGGCUGGUCUGUGAGUCAGGCCCAGCAUCCUCAGGCAUCUUGGUGUACUGAAGCUCACAAGGAGCCAGAGAUGCUGGCAUAGCCCCCACAUCUAGGAUGGUUUUGCCCAGGGGGUGACUGGCAACCUUACAUACAGUGGGAGAUUCAAUGGGUGGUUUACUCCUUUCUCCAGAUCUGUUAUUUUCAUUGAAUGAUGGCUGCUUGUUAGGCAGUGUCCACUUUAUGCCAUAGUGGGGGUGCUGGAGAGGAACACCGCAUUGGAGGUUGGUGUCUAAUUGUCCACAGGUGCUGAGUCCUGAGCCAGUAAUUGGCACUCAAGAUGCCUUAUACUGAGAUGUGUCUGUCAGGAAUUGCUGUAUUCAGAAUGCCAAGGACUUCAUCUGUAGAGUGAAUCAGUUCAUCAGAGGAUAGAAUUCUGCCUGGUGUUGAAUUUUGACCCAACUGCUGGUUGCUCAUGCAGGGUGGUUUGUGCCUCUGCACUUUUAUGUGUGGUGGCGCCCUGAACAGUGACCUUUCCCUGAUGCCUCAUGAGCCUUAAUGGGGACAUGUGUAACACAUCUACUCCAGUUCUGUGUUUCUACAGCAGGACAUUGAAUGGGCCAGAAGGCUCAUAAGAUCAUGGUAAACUCACU
Molecule: RNA transcript, 11784 nt
Organism: Manis javanica (Malayan pangolin)
Lineage: Eukaryota; Metazoa; Chordata; Mammalia; Pholidota; Manidae
Gene: ALS2CL
Gene name: ALS2 C-terminal like
Source: RefSeq, a predicted model, not a curated record